This 326-nucleotide ribosomal RNA is filed under the name Scytonematopsis sp. CCG44. RNAcentral describes it as "bacterial SSU rRNA". It matches the Rfam family "Bacterial small subunit ribosomal RNA", at positions 28 to 381 of the family's 1533-position model. The record is from RNAcentral. Lineage: Bacteria; Bacillati; Cyanobacteriota; Cyanophyceae; Nostocales; Scytonemataceae.
GAUGAACGCUGGCGGUAUGCUUAACACAUGCAAGUCGAACGGAGUACUUCGGUACUUAGUGGCGGACGGGUGAGUAACGCGUGAGAAUCUGCCUUCAGGUUCGGGACAACCACUGGAAACGGUGGCUAAUACCGAAUGUGCAGUGAUGUGAAAUAUUUAUAGCCUGAAGAUGAGCUCGCGUCUGAUUAGCUAGUAGGUGUGGUAAGAGCGCACCUAGGCGACGAUCAGUAGCUGGUCUGAGAGGAUGAUCAGCCACACUGGGACUGAGACACGGCCCAGACUCCUACGGGAGGCAGCAGUGGGGAAUUUUCCGCAAUGGGGAAAGC